CUUUGACAUCAGCACAGCUUUGAAAGGGGGAUGGGAGAGCGAGCAGAAAGCAGAAAAACCAGCUUUGAACUAUGCAUGCAAGGCCUCUUUCAAGCCUCAAAUUCUGUACUUAGCAAAAGUAUUCUAAAGUUCACCUGCAAAAAAUAAAAGAACAAGAAGAAUGAGAACACUACUAAUGAGAAAGAUAAGGACGGCUUGAGCCAGGGCAGUUCAGGAAACACUUGAGGAGCAGAGGCAGCAGGGCGCUGGACCAGACAGAGGACGGGAAUGUCCAAGAAGUGGUCUCUGUGUGCGGUAAUGAGCCGAGAUUACAGCUGGCAGCUGGAAACUAAACCCCAUGGGUGCCACCCAGAGAGAGCUGAGACUGACCAUGGAGUAACGGCCAAGGUCAUGUGUGUAGCCCCGGGCCAUGGAGAGGGGGUACCCUGGAGGGGCUGGGCUGGCUGGCUGGGCUCAGGCUGUCUGACAGGCAACGGGCUCCCCAGUGUUCUGAAGAGGGAGUGGCCCUGGUGGUAACUCUCUGUGGCUUAGAGGGGCUGAAGCUAGAACACCGCUGUGACUCCGGGCCCGCUGGUUCCCUGAGGGCAAGGGCCACCUUGGGUCAUCGCUCUGAACACCUUCCCCUUGCUCUGAGAAGCACAGAUGGCCAGUGUGAACUGCCUCAGCAAUCCAGGGACUGUGUCCUCUCAUUAAGAUAUCAUGGCAAAUCACGAGAAGACACAAAAAUCAAAACAUGCAAGAGAAGAAAAGACUAAUGAAAGCAGAGAUUCCCUGCGCGGCUCUUUCUAAGCUGACUAGAAGAGCAGCAGGCACUCCGAUAACUUCCGCACAGUCCAUUUUUAUUAUUCUUCAACUAACAGGAGCUCCAUUUCAAGAUAACCAAGUAUCUCUGGUUGGUAAGAAAAAUCACUGCUUUCAGAAGAACGUUAGAGUAAAUGUUGAAUUCGCUAGUGAAACUGAAACUACUGACUCAGGACUCAUAUCUGGGAAAACAUACUGUUACAAUUCAACAAGAAGAAGACAACCAACUUAAAAAAAGACAUCUCAUCAAAGAAGAGAGACAAAUGGCUAACAGGCAUAUGAAAAGAUGCUUAAAAUUUCCAGUCAUUGGGGAAAGGCCAAUGGAAACCACAGUGAGACACCAUUACACACCCACAAGAAUUAAGCUAUAAUCGAAAAGACAAUAAUAGAUAUUGGCAAGAAUGUGGCCACAUCAGAGCCCUCAUACAUUGUUGGUGGAAAUGUAAA
This 1248-nucleotide long non-coding RNA is filed under the name Homo sapiens (human). RNAcentral's name for it is "non-protein coding lnc-HSP90AA1-15:4". Lineage: Eukaryota; Metazoa; Chordata; Mammalia; Primates; Hominidae. The record is from RNAcentral.